RNAcentral lists this ribosomal RNA (828 nucleotides) under Triticum aestivum (bread wheat). RNAcentral describes it as "partial small subunit ribosomal RNA". The record is from RNAcentral. Lineage: Eukaryota; Viridiplantae; Streptophyta; Magnoliopsida; Poales; Poaceae.
AUGCCUCAGCUCGGCACCCUCGUCGCCAUCACGCUACUCCUCCACCUCCACGCCGCGCCGACGGGCCUCGCGCAGGCCGCGACGGGCGCGUUCAUCUACGCCGGGUGCUCGCCGUCCAAGUACGAGCGCGACACCGCCUUCGAGAGCAACCUCGGCUCCCUCCUCGCCUCCAUCGCCUCCACCGCCUCCUCCGGCGCCGCCUACAACAGCUUCACCGCCGGCGGCGGCGUCGGCCAGGCGGAGGCGACCCGCACGGCCGCGUACGGCCUGUAUCAGUGCCGCGGCGACCUCGGCCGCGGCGAGUGCGUGGCGUGCGUGCGGGAGGCGGUGGCGCGCCUGGGCGCCGUGUCGCUGCAGGUGGACGGCUGCUACGUGCGGUACGACGCCAGCGACUUCGUCGGCCGGGCCGACAACACCGUCGCGUACCGCAAGUGCAGCUCCGGCAGCAGCGAGGACGCCGGGUUCCUCAAGAGCCGCGACGCCGUGCUCAGGGAGCUGCAGGCGCGGGCCGCGACGGGGUACAAGCUGACCGGCUCCGGCACGGUGCAGGGCGUGGCGCAGUGCCUCGGCGACAUCGCGGCGCCGGACUGCGCCGCGUGCCUGGCGCAGGCGGUGGUGCAGCUCAAGGGCACGUGCGGCUCCGCGCUGGCCGCCGACGUCUACCUGGAGCAGUGCUACGUCAAGUACUGGCUAAACGGACACGACUUCCGCUCUUCACAGGACUAUUCGGGAGACGAAUUUGGGAGGACCGUGGCUAUAAUAAUUGGCAUCUUGGCCGGGCUAGCACUCCUGGUGGUGUUCAUCUCUUUCCUCAGCAAAGCAUGCUAG